This 633-nucleotide ribosomal RNA is filed under the name Acinetobacter baumannii OIFC109. RNAcentral's name for it is "bacterial SSU rRNA". It matches the Rfam family "Bacterial small subunit ribosomal RNA", at positions 28 to 655 of the family's 1533-position model. RNAcentral also lists the same sequence under 1 other name. The record is from RNAcentral. Lineage: Bacteria; Pseudomonadati; Pseudomonadota; Gammaproteobacteria; Moraxellales; Moraxellaceae.
AUUGAACGCUGGCGGCAGGCUUAACACAUGCAAGUCGAGCGGGGGAAGGUAGCUUGCUACCGGACCUAGCGGCGGACGGGUGAGUAAUGCUUAGGAAUCUGCCUAUUAGUGGGGGACAACAUCUCGAAAGGGAUGCUAAUACCGCAUACGUCCUACGGGAGAAAGCAGGGGAUCUUCGGACCUUGCGCUAAUAGAUGAGCCUAAGUCGGAUUAGCUAGUUGGUGGGGUAAAGGCCUACCAAGGCGACGAUCUGUAGCGGGUCUGAGAGGAUGAUCCGCCACACUGGGACUGAGACACGGCCCAGACUCCUACGGGAGGCAGCAGUGGGGAAUAUUGGACAAUGGGGGGAACCCUGAUCCAGCCAUGCCGCGUGUGUGAAGAAGGCCUUAUGGUUGUAAAGCACUUUAAGCGAGGAGGAGGCUACUUUAGUUAAUACCUAGAGAUAGUGGACGUUACUCGCAGAAUAAGCACCGGCUAACUCUGUGCCAGCAGCCGCGGUAAUACAGAGGGUGCGAGCGUUAAUCGGAUUUACUGGGCGUAAAGCGUGCGUAGGCGGCUUAUUAAGUCGGAUGUGAAAUCCCCGAGCUUAACUUGGGAAUUGCAUUCGAUACUGGUGAGCUAGAGUAUGGGAGA